AUUGUCGACAAGAAUGCGGCGAAUAUCGUAAUUAGCUAUAUUCAAAGAAACUACAACUGCGUUGUUAUGAGGAAAUUGAACUCCCCGAGCAUCUUCUUCAGUAAAGGUUAUGGAUUCCUCAAUCUUUUGUCGCUUGGGAGGUCCGGCCAAUACGCCGGUUGCUCCCUGCCGGGAUUCUCCCGAGAUGGUAUUGGCGAAAUC
RNAcentral lists this long non-coding RNA (201 nucleotides) under Elaeis guineensis (African oil palm). Its description in RNAcentral is "long non-coding RNA (EGUI_LNC051102)". Lineage: Eukaryota; Viridiplantae; Streptophyta; Magnoliopsida; Arecales; Arecaceae. The record is from RNAcentral.